AGUGAACGCUGGCGGUAGGCCUAACACAUGCAAGUCGAACGGCAGCACAGUAAGAGCUUGCUCUUACGGGUGGCGAGUGGCGGACGGGUGAGGAAUACAUCGGAAUCUACUUUUUCGUGGGGGAUAACGUAGGGAAACUUACGCUAAUACCGCAUACGACCUACGGGUGAAAGCGGGGGAUCUUCGGACCUUGCGCGAUUGAAUGAGCCGAUGUCGGAUUAGCUAGUUGGCGGGGUAAAGGCCCACCAAGGCGACGAUCCGUAGCUGGUCUGAGAGGAUGAUCAGCCACACUGGAACUGAGACACGAUCCAGACUCCUACGGGAGGCAGCAGUGGGGAAUAUUGGACAAUGGGCGCAAGCCUGAUCCAGCCAUACCGCGUGGGUGAAGAAGGCCUUCGGGUUGUAAAGCCCUUUUGUUGGGAAAGAAAAGCAGCAGGUUAAUACCCCGCUGUUCUGACGGUACCCAAAGAAUAAGCACCGGCUAACUUCGUG
RNAcentral lists this ribosomal RNA (492 nucleotides) under uncultured bacterium. RNAcentral's name for it is "partial 16S ribosomal RNA". It matches the Rfam family "Bacterial small subunit ribosomal RNA", at positions 29 to 507 of the family's 1533-position model. The record is from RNAcentral.